Molecule: ribosomal RNA, 512 nt
Filed under: Bacillus sp. HH3
Lineage: Bacteria; Bacillati; Bacillota; Bacilli; Caryophanales; Bacillaceae
Description: bacterial SSU rRNA
Rfam family: Bacterial small subunit ribosomal RNA
Source: RNAcentral
GGCGGAGGCGCGGCUAUCAUGCAGUCGAGCGAAUGGAUUGAGAGCUUGCUCUCAAGAAGUUAGCGGCGGACGGGUGAGUAACACGUGGGUAACCUGCCCAUAAGACUGGGAUAACUCCGGGAAACCGGGGCUAAUACCGGAUAAUAUUUUGAACUGCAUGGUUCGAAAUUGAAAGGCGGCUUCGGCUGUCACUUAUGGAUGGACCCGCGUCGCAUUAGCUAGUUGGUGAGGUAACGGCUCACCAAGGCAACGAUGCGUAGCCGACCUGAGAGGGUGAUCGGCCACACUGGGACUGAGACACGGCCCAGACUCCUACGGGAGGCAGCAGUAGGGAAUCUUCCGCAAUGGACGAAAGUCUGACGGAGCAACGCCGCGUGAGUGAUGAAGGCUUUCGGGUCGUAAAACUCUGUUGUUAGGGAAGAACAAGUGCUAGUUGAAUAAGCUGGCACCUUGACGGUACCUAACCAGAAAGCCACGGCUAACUACGUGCCAGCAGCCCGGGUUAAAUACGA